Molecule: ribosomal RNA, 253 nt
Filed under: uncultured bacterium
Lineage: Bacteria
Description: partial 16S ribosomal RNA
Rfam family: Bacterial small subunit ribosomal RNA
Source: RNAcentral
UACGUAGGGGGCUAGCGUUGUCCGGAAUCAUUGGGCGUAAAGAGCGUGUAGGCGGCCCGGUAAGUCCGCUGUGAAAGUCGGGGGCUCAACCCUCGAAUGCCGGUGGAUACUGUCGGGCUAGAGUGCGGAAGAGGCGAGUGGAAUUCCUGGUGUAGCGGUGAAAUGCGCAGAUAUCAGGAGGAACACCGAUUGCGAAGGCAGCUCUCUGGGACGUUACUGACGCUGAGACGCGAAAGCGUGGGGAGCAAACAGG